This 253-nucleotide ribosomal RNA is filed under the name uncultured bacterium. Its description in RNAcentral is "partial 16S ribosomal RNA". It matches the Rfam family "Bacterial small subunit ribosomal RNA", at positions 524 to 776 of the family's 1533-position model. The record is from RNAcentral.
UACAGAGGGUGCGAGCGUUAAUCGGAAUUACUGGGCGUAAAGCGUGCGUAGACGGUUAUUUAAGUCGGGUGUGAAAGCCCCGGGCUCAACCUGGGAAUUGCAUUCGAGACUGAAUAGCUAGGGUACGGUAGAGGGAAGUGGAAUUUCCGGUGUGGCGGUGAAAUGCGUAGAUAUCGGAAGGAACAUCAGUGGCGAAAGCGGCUUCCUGGACCAGUACCGACGUUCAGGCACGAAAGCGUGGGGAGCAAACAGG